Hippocampus comes (tiger tail seahorse) is the source of this 1008-nucleotide long non-coding RNA. RefSeq lists it as uncharacterized. The record is from RefSeq and is a predicted model, not a curated record. NCBI's taxonomy places the organism in Eukaryota, Metazoa, Chordata, Actinopteri, Syngnathiformes, Syngnathidae. The transcript has 2 exons.
UUUUUUCCUCAUAUCAGAAUAUUAUUGCAGGCCAUCCAAUGUUGACCAUCCCCGCUAUAAGUAGUGUAGUGGUUCCCAUAGCUGAUUAUAUUAUGCAGCUGGCAUAGUGCCCACUCAAGGCACUUUUCCCAAUCGACCUGUGAAGAGAUGAUCAGAUAAGUACAGGGCGUAGUCUGCCUUUCACCCAAGGUACAUAGAUACCGACUCUCAAGAGGUUAACCGAUUUUUAAAUGGUGAGAGGAUGUUUGCUGUAGUACCAAGUCUUGCCUGUGAGAGGCAGCGUGUUGCCACAGCAUCUGGACUGCCGGAAAGAACAAAGAAGAGCAACUUAAAGAAGCUAAGCUAACUGGUAUUAUCUGGUAACUAGUUAGCUGAUGUCAGCCCUACACUAAUUUUGAUCACAAGGGAGGAAAAAUUCAAAUGUUUGGCAUGCUUGGUGAAUGGUCAUUAGUGUCUGCUUACACCAGAGAGCCUGGCCAGCUGGUCUAUGACGUCUGAUGUGCCACUUGGUGGUAAACUACAUCAAGACCCCCGUGGCAGAGUCACUGAGGCCCAGCAACUCUUCUCCCCAGGCAGGAUGCAGAGGCUAUGGCGAGCCCUCGGCAGAUGGAGCCUCCAGCGUUUCUGCUCUCCUGCAAAUAUUAAAAAAAAAAAAAAAAAAAAAAAGAAAAAGAGAGCGAGAGUUGGAGCAAGCGCCAGAGAUGAGACACGGCCCGCCUCAGCCCAUCACAGAUGCCAGGAGAAGGCAGGGAUUUUGUCGAGCCCCCCUGCGAGACGGGUCCAGUUGGAACAGGUGCAGUGUCGUCUCCCUCGGUCCCUUUGUCAGCACCUCAGUGGUGGAGCCUUUGCUCUCUUCCUGUCCCGACUCCUUCUCAUUCACACACUUGAGAGGUGUUGCGGGACUACUUCCAGCCCCUCCUGAAAGCCAGCCGCAGAUCUGUCCAUGCAUCCUCAUUUCUAAAGGCCAGAUCCACCCCCAGCGUGGCAUUGUGUUCUUCCUUCAACAGG